RNAcentral lists this transfer RNA (65 nucleotides) under Oedalechilus labeo (boxlip mullet). RNAcentral describes it as "tRNA-Cys". It matches the Rfam family "tRNA". Rfam says of the family: Transfer RNA (tRNA) molecules are approximately 80 nucleotides in length. Their secondary structure includes four short double-helical elements and three loops (D, anti-codon, and T loops). Lineage: Eukaryota; Metazoa; Chordata; Actinopteri; Mugiliformes; Mugilidae. The record is from RNAcentral.
AGCCCUGGGGUGUUAUCAUAUGAGAUUGCAAAUCUUAAGAAGCAAGUUAAAACUUGCCGGGGCUU